This 467-nucleotide ribosomal RNA is filed under the name uncultured bacterium. RNAcentral's name for it is "partial 16S ribosomal RNA". It matches the Rfam family "Bacterial small subunit ribosomal RNA", at positions 28 to 506 of the family's 1533-position model. The record is from RNAcentral.
GACGAACGCUGGCGGCGUGCUUAACACAUGCAAGUCGAACGGAAAGGCCCUGCUUUUGUGGGGUGCUCGAGUGGCGAACGGGUGAGUAACACGUGAGUAACCUGCCCUUGACUUUGGGAUAACUUCAGGAAACUGGGGCUAAUACCGGAUAGGAGCUCCUGCUGCAUGGUGGGGGUUGGAAAGUUUCGGCGGUUGGGGAUGGACUCGCGGCUUAUCAGCUUGUUGGUGGGGUAGUGGCUUACCAAGGCUUUGACGGGUAGCCGGCCUGAGAGGGUGACCGGCCACAUUGGGACGGAGAGACGGCCCAGACUCCUACGGGAGGCAGCAGUGGGGAAUAUUGCACAAUGGGCGGAAGCCUGAUGCAGCAACGCCGCGUGCGGGAUGACGGCCUUCGGGUGGUAAACCGCUUUCGCCUGUGACGAAGCGUGAGUGACGGUAAUGGGUAAAGAAGCACCGGCUAACUACGG